This 1943-nucleotide long non-coding RNA is filed under the name Ananas comosus (pineapple). RNAcentral describes it as "long non-coding RNA (ACOM_LNC040095)". Lineage: Eukaryota; Viridiplantae; Streptophyta; Magnoliopsida; Poales; Bromeliaceae. The record is from RNAcentral.
UUAGGUUUUACGCUUUAUUCGAUUGAACGAGAAAAAGUACUCGUCGCAAAGUUAUACUGUUAUGGCGCAACUGAGUAGUCUAAUGUAGUUCCGGUUUUGAUUCUUGUGAACGUUGACAUCGAUUCGUUCCAAAUUUACACUCUCAGGGCAUAAUAGAAAGCUUUUACUCCGUGUUCGAUAGAAUAAGAAAAAGUACUCGUCGCAAAGUUAUACUGUUAUGGCGCAACUGAGUUGUCUAAUGUUGUUCCGAUUUUGGUUCUUGUAAACGUUGACAUCGAUUCGUUCCAAAUUAAAACUCUCGGGGUAUAAUAGAACAAUAUAAUUAGGUUUUGCGCUUAGUUCGAUUGAAUGAAAAAAAAUGCUAGUUGCAAAGUUAUACUGUUAGGGCUCAACUGAGUAGUCUAACGUUGUUCCGGUUUUGGUUCUUGUGAACGUUGACAUCGAUUCGUUCCAAAUUUACACUCUCAAGGCAUAAUAGAACAAUAUAACUAGGUUAUACUCUUUGUUCGAUUGAAUGGGAAAAAGUACUAGUUGCAAUGUUAUACUGUUAGGGCUUAACUGAGUUGUCUAACGUUGUUCCGAUUUUGGUUCUUCUGAACGUUGACAUCGAUUCGUUCCAAAUUUACACUCUCGGGAAAUAAUAGAAAGCUUUUGCUCCUUGUUCGAUAGAUUGAGAAAAAGUACUCAUUACAAAGUUAUACUGUUAUGGCGCAGCAGAGUAGUCUAAUGUUGUGCCGGUUUUGGUUCUUGUGAACGUUGACAUUGACUAGUUCCAAAUUUAUACUCUCGCGGCAUAAUAGAACAAUAUUAUUAGGUUUUACGCCUUAUUCGAUUGAACGAGAAAAAGUACUCGUCGCAAAGUUAUACUAUUAUGGCGAACUGAGUAGUCUAAUGUAGUUCCGGUUUUCGUUCUUAUGAACGUUGACAUCGAUUCGUUCCAAAUUUACACUCUCGGGGCAUAAUAGAACAAUAUAAUUAGGUUUUACUCUUUAUUCAAUUGAAUGAGAAAGAGUACUCGUUUCAAAGUUAUACUGUUAUGGCGCAACUGAGUCGUCUAAUUUAGUUCCGGUUUUGGUUCUUGUGAACUUUGACAUCGAUUGGUUCCAAAUUUACACUUACGGGGCAUAAUAGAACAAUAUAAUUAGGUUUUGCUCUUUGUUCGAUUAAAUGAGAAAAAGCUCUAGUUGCAAAAUUAUUGUUAGGGCUCAAUUGAGUAGUCUAACGUUCUUCCGGUUUUGCUUCUUGUGAAUGUUGACAUCGUUUCGUUCCAAAUUUACACACUCGGGGCAUUCUCGGGGCAUAAUAGAAAGCUUUUACUUCUUGUUCGAUGGAAUGAGAAAAAGUCCUCGUUGCAAAGUUAUAAUGUUAUGGCGCAACAGAGUAGUCUAAUGUUGUUUCGGUUUUGGUUCUUGUGAACGUUGACAUCGAUUAGUUCCAAAUUUACACUCUCGGGGCAUAAUAGAACAAUAUUAUUAGGUUUUACGCUUUAUUCGAUUGAACUAGAAAAUGUACUCGUCGCAAAGUCAUACUGGUAUGGCGCAACUGAGUAGUCUAAUGUAGUUCCGGUUUUGGUUCUUGUGAACGUUGACAUUAAUUCGUUCCAAAUUUACAUUCUCGGGGCAUUAUAGAAAGCUUUUCCUCCUUGUUCGAUAGAAUGAGAAAAAGUACUCGUUACAAAGUUAUACUGUUAUGGCGCAACAGAGUAGUCUAAUGUUGUAUCGGUUUUGGUUCCGGUGAACGUUGACAUCGAUUUGUUCCAACUUUACAUUCUCGGGGCGUAAUAGAACAAUAUAAUUAGGUUUUACUCUUUAUUCGAUUGAAUGAGAAAAAGUACUCGUUGCAAAGUUAUACUGUUAUGGCGCAACUGAGUAGUCUAAUUUAGUUCCGGUUUUGGUUCUUGUGAACUUUGACAUCGAUUCGUUCCAAAUUUACACUCUCGGNNN